AACGCACAUUGCGCCCCCUGGCAUUCCGGGGGGCAUGCCUGUUCGAGCGUCAUUAACACCACUCAAGCUCAGCUUGGUAUUGGGUCACGCCAGCAAUGGUGAACCUCAAACUCAGUGGCGGCACCGUUGGGUCCCGAGCGUAGUAAAUAUCUCGCUGAGGGUUCCCUCCGGUUGGCGACCAACAACCCAAUUUUCUAAGGUUGACCUCGGAUCAGGUAGGAAUACCCGCUGAACUUAA
RNAcentral lists this unclassified non-coding RNA (238 nucleotides) under uncultured fungus. RNAcentral describes it as "partial contains 5.8S ribosomal RNA, internal transcribed spacer 2, and large subunit ribosomal RNA". Lineage: Eukaryota; Fungi. The record is from RNAcentral.